Long non-coding RNA from Musca domestica (house fly), 827 nucleotides. RefSeq lists it as uncharacterized. The transcript is spliced from 3 exons. NCBI's taxonomy places the organism in Eukaryota, Metazoa, Arthropoda, Insecta, Diptera, Muscidae. The record is from RefSeq and is a predicted model, not a curated record.
GAUCUGGCAGUAAGACGGAAUAUAUUGGUUCACUUCUUCUGGUACCUUCCCCACAAACGCUAAAAAUUUUGAAUAUCCAUGACGUUGGGCGCCAAACAUAAAUAUUCGUUUUAAUUUUUUUGUCAGAUCUGAAAUUCAGAAUAAAAUGUUGAAAAUAAAGCUUUGCGAAAGCAUUGACCGUUUUUGAAAUUCUCUUAAAUUGAUUGACUCAUCUAUUUUGAUGCCCAAAUACCAAGUUUAGGCAAGUUUCCUCCGCCAAGUCUUUGUUUGAAGGAAAUGGGAAAUAAUAAUAACAAUGACAGAAAUACCAUGGUUAAAAUUGAAAAUUGCUGAAAACUAAUUGCGUUGCGAAACUCCAGGAGCCAAAUUAAAAAGAGAACGAAAAAAAUGCUGCCAGUAAUGAGAUUGGAAUUCAAUAGGACAAUGAGAUUAAACUCUCCAUAAUGCCUUCAAUCGCGCAGAACUCGUUUAUAAGAGCUAUAUGGAAACUUGUAUGUUGGAUGCCUUUGCCAAAUAUGGGGACAUCCAAUCCAAAAUGGGCCAAAAUUCGACUUGAUUUAAUACAUAUUGAAAACUCAAAAUUCCCAAUAACAAAACAGGUGUAUGCAAAGGAAGCAAUGCAGUUGUUGUGGGCGAAAUAAUACAUAGCUACAAAAACAAACUUUUCUCUGAAAUGGAUUUGCCAGUAGAACUUGAGUCGAACUUGGAUGAUUUCCGCUUAACCAACGGCGAAACGUGUAUGAUAGUGUCUCUUUGAUUUUCUUUUUCACCGCAAAUUUUAGAUCUUUAAGUUCAUCUCGUAAGAGAAAUAAACAAACAAAAAGUUU